RNAcentral lists this ribosomal RNA (187 nucleotides) under Listeria monocytogenes. RNAcentral's name for it is "partial 23S ribosomal RNA". It matches the Rfam family "Bacterial large subunit ribosomal RNA", at positions 2741 to 2925 of the family's 2925-position model. The record is from RNAcentral. Lineage: Bacteria; Bacillati; Bacillota; Bacilli; Caryophanales; Listeriaceae.
CUGGGUAGCUAUGUGUGGCAGGGAUAAACGCUGAAAGCAUCUAAGCGUGAAGCCCCCCUCAAGAUGAGAUUUCCCAUUUCUUCGGAAAGUAAGAUCCCUGAAAGAUGAUCAGGUAGAUAGGUUUGGAGUGGAAGUGUAGCGAUACAUGGAGCGGACAAAUACUAAUCGAUCGAGGACUUAACCAAAA